RNAcentral lists this ribosomal RNA (245 nucleotides) under uncultured Mucilaginibacter sp. RNAcentral's name for it is "partial 16S ribosomal RNA". It matches the Rfam family "Bacterial small subunit ribosomal RNA", at positions 524 to 768 of the family's 1533-position model. The record is from RNAcentral. Lineage: Bacteria; Pseudomonadati; Bacteroidota; Sphingobacteriia; Sphingobacteriales; Sphingobacteriaceae.
UACGGAGGAUCCAAGCGUUAUCCGGAUUUAUUGGGUUUAAAGGGUGCGUAGGUGGCUUAUUAAGUCAGGGGUGAAAGACGGUAGCUUAACUAUCGCAGUGCCUUUGAUACUGAUGAGCUUGAAUGAACUAGAGGUAGGCGGAAUGUGACAAGUAGCGGUGAAAUGCAUAGAUAUGUCACAGAACACCAAUUGCGAAGGCAGCUUACUAUGGUUAAAUUGACACUGAGGCACGAAAGCGUGGGGAU